GUCUUUUUGUAUUUAAUAUAAAGUCUAACCUGCCCAUUGAAUAAUUUUAAAAGGCUGCGGUAUUUUGACCGUACAAAGGUAGCAUAGUCAUUAGUUUUUUAAUUGGAAACUUGUAUGAAUGGUUGAAUGAAAAAUUAACUUUUUUAAAAAAAACAUUGAAUUUUACUUUUUAAUUAAAAGGUUAAAAUUUAUUUAAAAGACGAGAAGACCCUAUAGAGUUUUAUAUUUUUUGUUAUAAUUUUUAAUAAGUUUAUUUAAAAUUUUUUAAUAAAUAUUAUUUUGUUGGGGUGAUAAUAAAAUUUAAUUAACUUUUAUUUAUUAUUUACAUUAAUAUAUGAUUUUUUGAUCCAUUAUUAUUGAUUAAAAGUUUAAAUUACCUUAGGGAUAACAGCGUAAUUUUUUUUUAAGUUCUUAUUAAUAAAAAAUUUUGCGACCUCGAUGUUGGAUUAAGAUUUAAUUUUAGGUGCAGCAGUUUAAAGUUUAAGUCUGUUCGACUUUUAAAUUCUU
RNAcentral lists this ribosomal RNA (507 nucleotides) under Lycoriella inflata. RNAcentral describes it as "partial small subunit ribosomal RNA". The record is from RNAcentral. Lineage: Eukaryota; Metazoa; Arthropoda; Insecta; Diptera; Sciaridae.